RNAcentral lists this ribosomal RNA (253 nucleotides) under uncultured bacterium. RNAcentral describes it as "partial 16S ribosomal RNA". It matches the Rfam family "Bacterial small subunit ribosomal RNA", at positions 521 to 773 of the family's 1533-position model. The record is from RNAcentral.
UAAUACGUAGGUGGCAAGCGUUGUCCGGAUUUACUGGGCGUAAAGAGCGCGCAGGCGGUCGAUUAAGUCGGAUGUGAAAUCCCCUGGCUCAACUGGGGGGCGUCAUUCGAUACUGCUCGACUUGAAGGCAGGAGAGGGAAGCGGAAUUCCCGGUGUAGUGGUGAAAUGCGUAGAUAUCGGGAGGAACACCAGUGGCGAAGGCGGCUUCCUGGCCUGUUCUUGACGCUGAGGCGCGAAAGCCAGGGGAGCAAAC